AUCAGCGUCAUUGUCUGGGAUUUCAACCCCACCCCCUUCCGCAACCCCUGUUCUUCUCCCUUUCCAUCUUUACCAUUUUUAUAACCCCGGAUGACAGGGGGGGGGGCGGGGUGAUGCCGCAGCGCGUGGCAUCUCAGGACCCAGUGCCCCCACUCUGUCUGGGGAGGCCACGCAGCCCCUCCUUCGUCUCUCCCCCUGCCCAAUGCCGAGCCGCCUGUGGUGGUGGCGCGGUGAAGCACCUGCCACGUGGGGAGGUCAGAGCGAUGUACCGCCCCACUGACGCCGGCGGUCGGGCCCUGGAUGGCGCUGCGGCGGAGCGACCUGCGGCAGUGCACAGGCUUGCGCCACGCAUAUGGUAGGCGAAGCGUCAGCGUGGCUCGAGCGUGUAAUCCCACCCCCGGCCCUCGCACUGCGUACGGGGGUGUGGGGAGCCACCCACCCACCCCUGAGGAGAGAAUGCACCCGGUGGCGCCCGGCAUAGUGGGGGAGCGGCUGUGAGGCGACCUGCGGGGCGCGGGUGGGUGUGCGGUGCUCGAGGCAGGGGGGUGGUGCUCCGACGGCUGAGCCGGGCGCAUUGCUGCACUGGCGUGUCUCUCGCUCUGCAUCGCACGACGCGGAUGGGGGCCUGUGAAAGGCUCAUGUGGCAGAGUAGCGUUCUUGCGCUUCUAAUCCAUACGCGACGGUAAAGGCGUGCUGUGGGCAGCGGGCUGCCGGCGACCAGCUCUCGCUCUCUCCCCCGCGCCUUAUUCUCCGUCUUGAGGCAGCGAAGGGCCGCGCCAGGCCCGGCGGAACGGGACGUUCCGCUUUCCUCGUUCUCUUUAUUCGUCUUUGCGCGCUUUCCUCGGGAGAUAGCGGCUCUGCACGAUCGGGGGGACGAUGAAGUGUUCGUUGCCGAGUGAAGGCGAGGUCUUUGUUCUACCUGUGACUGCUACUUGUAGUUUGCAUUUUGUUCGAGAAAGCGCCCCAGUGACGUCAUGGCCUCUUCUCUCUCGUUGUUUCCACUGCCCAAGCCUCCCGAGUAAGCCCCGCCCACCCGGCCCCCUUCACGCCUCCACCCUGUGAGGCAGGAAGGCGGGAGGGCGUGUGGCUCCGCGCUCUCGUCCAUGCACACAGUCACAGGCGCAUACGGCUGGCGAUGCCCUUGUAUGAGAGACGCGUUUGAUUCCUGCCGGUAUGCAGCCCUCUCGGUGUCAGCGGCCCGACCGCACACACACACACACACACAAGCAUCAAGAGCAAACCGAUAAGCAGAGCAAGAGCGAGAUGGAAAAGGGUUGCGUCUGCGGAGGACGCACGGAAACAGGCUAACGGGUGUUUUUGUUUUUGAAAACGGUCGUUACUGGCAUGCCUAUCAUUCAGCCGCGCAGACGCUAUCUGGGCGGGCUGGCCUGUUGCCGCGUGGUAGAAGAGGAAGCGGCCGCUUUCCCCCAUCGCCCACAAAGGCGCCCUCUCUGCUAACCGCUCCACGAGCCGUCUUUAUUGGUGUGCACGUACUUGCAGCGGUGUGGCGGAGGGGAAGAAAUAUGCCCGCCUUGAUGUUCGGUCCUGCUUGACUCUGCCCAUCUCUCUCGUUCAUCUAUCUUGCCUCUCUUCAAUUUCCUUUGGUGGACCGCCGUAACUGUUCUCGUGCGUUUACGUGGAACGUUGUCGUCUCGCCCGUCAUCGCAUGCGGAACGGUCAUCUGCAUGUUGUACGUGUGCGUAUGUUGUGGCGGUACUGAUGGCGUUGUUGUUAUGCCUGAACUAG
Molecule: unclassified non-coding RNA, 1746 nt
Filed under: Leishmania donovani
Lineage: Eukaryota; Euglenozoa; Kinetoplastea; Trypanosomatida; Trypanosomatidae
Description: gene:unknown
Source: RNAcentral